RNAcentral lists this ribosomal RNA (489 nucleotides) under uncultured bacterium. RNAcentral describes it as "partial 16S ribosomal RNA". It matches the Rfam family "Bacterial small subunit ribosomal RNA", at positions 28 to 507 of the family's 1533-position model. The record is from RNAcentral.
GACGAACGCUGGCGGCGUGCUUAACACAUGCAAGUCGAACGCUGAAGCGCAGCUUUUGCUGUGGAUGAGUUGCGAACGGGUGAGUAACACAUGAGUAACCUGCCCUCUUCUUUGGGUUAACGCACUGAAACAGAUGCGAACACAGCACAUUCACUGAUUUUCACAGGGUGGUUGGUUGAAAGGUUUCGUCUUGUGGGUGAUGUGUUCGUGGCGCCUCAGCUUGUUGGUUGGGUGAUGACUUACCAAGGCUAUGACGCGUCGCCGACGUGGCAGGGUGAUCGGCCACACGGGAACUGAGACACGGACCAGACUCCUGCGGGAGGCAGCAGGAGGGAAUCUGCCGCAAUGGGCGGAAGCCUGACGGAGCAACGCCGAGUGAGGGAUGAAGGUCGUCGGAUCGGAAAACGGUGUUGUGAGGGAAGAACAAAUGUGGAAGGAACUAUGCACGGCUUGACGGUACCGAAUCAGAAAGCCACGGCUAACUACGUG